GUAGGUGAACCUGCGGAAGGAUCAUUAGUGAAUUUUGGCUGUCUCCACCGAGAAGCCGUCUUCCACUUUUAACCCUGUGAACUGUCAUCGGCUCCACUGGUUGAGCCUGAUGUAAAACCUUUACCUUUUAUCGCAAGUUAAUGAAUGUAAACAAUUUAUAACAAAAAAAAAACUUUCAACAACGGAUCUCUUGGCUCUC
This 199-nucleotide unclassified non-coding RNA is filed under the name rhizosphere metagenome. RNAcentral describes it as "partial ribosomal RNA internal transcribed spacer region". The record is from RNAcentral.